AUUUUUGAGGAUUUGAUCCUGGUCCAGGAUGAACGCUGGCGGCGUGGAUAAGGCAUGCAAGUCGAGCGAACCAAAUCUUGAUGAGAUCCGCGGAGUAGCAAUACGAAGCGGAAGGAAUCAAGACUCAGGUUAGCGGCGAACGAGUUAGUAAUACCUUGGUACGUACCCCGAAGACGGGCAUAGUUUGCCGAAAGGCGAAGUAAUUCCCGAUAGUCCCCGAGAGCAAUCAACGGGUAAAGGCGCAAGCCGCUUUGGGAUCGGCCUAGGUCCGAUCAGCUAGUUGGUGAGGUAACGGCCCACCAAGGCUAUGACCGGUAGGGAGGGUGAGAGCCUGAUUCCCAACGAGGGCACUGAGACACGGGCCCUACUCCUACGGGAGGCAGCAGUCGAGAAUAUUCGACAAUGGGCGAAAGCCUGAUCGAGCGACGCCGCGUGCAGGAAGAAGUC
This 447-nucleotide ribosomal RNA is filed under the name Patescibacteria group bacterium. RNAcentral's name for it is "bacterial SSU rRNA". It matches the Rfam family "Bacterial small subunit ribosomal RNA", at positions 1 to 415 of the family's 1533-position model. The record is from RNAcentral.